GACGUAGGGUGCAAGCGUUGUCCGGAUUUAUUGGGUUUAAAGGGUGCGUAGGCGGUCAUGUAAGUCAGUGCUGAAAUAUCCCGGCUUAACCGGGAGGGUGGCAUUGAUACUGUAUGACUUGAGUAAAGUUGAGGUUGGCGGAAUUGACGGUGUAGCGGUGAAAUGCUUAGAUAUCGUCAAGAACACCUAUUGCGAAGGCAGCUAACUAAGCUUUAACUGACGCUGAGGCACGAAAGUGUGGGGAUCAAACAGG
Molecule: ribosomal RNA, 253 nt
Filed under: uncultured bacterium
Lineage: Bacteria
Description: partial 16S ribosomal RNA
Rfam family: Bacterial small subunit ribosomal RNA
Source: RNAcentral